AGGAGGAACAACCACAGUGGUGCCGGCCAGCUCUGGAGCCCUGGAUUCAGCUCCCACAGUAACUAUGGAGCUCUCUGUCUGCAGGGGUCUGGAUGUUCCUGGGGCGGG
Molecule: microRNA precursor, 108 nt
Filed under: Canis lupus familiaris (dog)
Lineage: Eukaryota; Metazoa; Chordata; Mammalia; Carnivora; Canidae
Also listed under: 1 other name
Description: mir-8834 microRNA precursor family
Rfam family: mir-8834 microRNA precursor family
Source: Rfam by way of RNAcentral